This 429-nucleotide ribosomal RNA is filed under the name Bacteroidota bacterium. RNAcentral describes it as "Bacteroidetes bacterium partial 16S ribosomal RNA". It matches the Rfam family "Bacterial small subunit ribosomal RNA", at positions 355 to 776 of the family's 1533-position model. The record is from RNAcentral. Lineage: Bacteria; Pseudomonadati; Bacteroidota.
UAGGGAAUCUUCCGCAAUGGACGCAAGUCUGACGGAGCAACGCCGCGUGAGUGAAGAAGGAUUUCGGUUCGUAAAACUCUGUUGUUAGAGAAGAACAGCGCAUAGAGUAACUGUUAUGCGUGUGACGGUAUCUAACCAGAAAGCCACGGCUAACUACGUGCCAGCAGCCGCGGUAAUACGUAGGUGGCAAGCGUUUUCCGGAUUUAUUGGGCGUAAAGCGAGCGCAGGCGGUCAAUUAAGUCUGAUGUGAAAGCCCCCGGCUCAACCGGGGAGGGUCAUUGGAAACUGGUUGACUUGAGUGCAGAAGAGGAGAGUGGAAUUCCAUGUGUAGCGGUGAAAUGCGUAGAUAUAUGGAGGAAAACCAGGGGCGAAGGCGACUCUCUGGUCGGUAACUGACGCUGAGGCUCGAAAGCGUGGGUAGCAAACAGG